This is a long non-coding RNA of Corvus hawaiiensis (hawaiian crow), 6077 nucleotides long. RefSeq lists it as uncharacterized. The record is from RefSeq and is a predicted model, not a curated record. The transcript has 11 exons. Lineage: Eukaryota; Metazoa; Chordata; Aves; Passeriformes; Corvidae.
UGUUUUGGAUUUUGAGAAAUUAGUAGGAAGGCAACUGAAGCCAGCUCCAGUUUCAUUAGGGUGAUGCACCCUGGAACACCCUUGGCAUUUGGCUUUGUUUACAGGUCAGUGUAAUGAUAAAGUUCACCUCCUUUCAUUGCAGGUGUUGCUUUGGAUAUCUGAAUAUAUUUAUUCAGAAAUGCCUGACAUAGCUGAUAAAGAAAACACUAUGCUAGAUUUUAGUAAAGUCAAUUAAUCUAAUAGCCAAUUAGUAGAGUGACAUCUCUGUAUUUGUCUGAGAAUUUGAUUCCUACAACUUCUAAUUUCAUGGUUUAGGGUCUUGUUUCUCUUCUUUUGUUAUUUAAGAUAAUUUGUUAGCUUUUAACUGAAUUUGAAAAAAGCUCCUUAUUGUUAUGCUCUGCAUAGUAAAGCAUACUUAAGCAGCAAGGUAGAGAAAUCUGCACCUUGAGAGAGUAUCAUGUUGUGCUGAGACUUCUGAGAGAUUAGCUUUUGAAGAACCUCUUUGUUUUUAUUCUGAAUAUGAUCCAGUCCUGGGAAUUUAAUUUGCUUCUCUAGAUCAUUAUGUUUGCAUGUUUUCUUAUCAAAGGAGGCAUAAGUUUGGGGCAUGAGCCUGUAAAUCUGUUUUCACAUAAUUUAUUAAAAGUCACAUAGUACUGGUGCCAUUGGAGGGAAAGAUUCUGUUUAUCUGUUAAUUCUACAGUGACAUUUAGUCCUUUCAACAUGGUUUUCAUUUUUAGAGGUCAGUGCUUAUUCUACACUAUGAUUUUCCAGGGAUUGGUGGGUUUGUGAAUAAAACUCAAAUAAAUUUUGUUUUCUUUCUGCUUAGUUUCUCUCCAUUCUGCAUCUCCUUACAGUGCCCAUCAUCCAAUGAAGUCAAGUUGCCUGUCAUAAUGCAGGACUGGCUUUUUGCAGGAUAGUCUCGGCGGGACAGAGGAGCAGAAGUUUAGCAGCACCUUUAAGUUGCUUGGUUUUCCCUCAAGUCAGCCAACAUCCCAUGUUCACAGGCCAGAUUAUUAUGCUUUUGUUCAAAAGACUGUUCUAAUCCAUUUUCCACAAAGAACUCUGAAGGGUUUAUUGUUUCUGUGUUGUGUUCCCUUAACAGUUGAUGAGGUCUGUGAGCGACUUUUUCUAUCAUUUCUGAAAACCCUAUGGAAUACUUCGUGGGAUUUGCAGAAGAAAGUUUCCAAUUUCCUUCUCCUUCCUUGCAUUAGCACUGAAUAUCCCAGGGAGUGAAUUCAGCUCUGUUCAGAACCACAGCCUGUAAGAAAUGAUCAUGUGCUGGUGUGUUGUGGCAGCCAGAGCAGACUACUCAUGUUUAGGGCUGAUCCUAUCAUUGUGGGGAUGGACAAACAGCCUGAUUCUGCUUGCACAAGCUGAAGCAAAUUUUGACUUUAAAGGGGGUGGAGGGAACAGGACCAGUCAGUUUUGAAAGUGGAUUUGAAAGCUGUGUCUAGUUAAUUUGGAUGCCCUUCUGUUUAGGGCUUUGAGCCUUAAGAGAGGAGAAGUAGAGUGAUCCCUUAAGGUCUUCAGCUUACACAUCCAUCUCCUGUUGAUAUAACUGGGGAAUGAACUCACAAGACAAAACCAGUAAGUGAGGCCUCUGAGGGAAACCUGGGUUCAUCAAAGCCUGAUGUGCUGCUUAGGCUUUUCAGUGCUCUGCGCAAAAUGAAAGCCAUGAGUGGAUAAUUCUUUCUGGAGGUGAUGCUGUAUUUUUUUCUUCCACGAGGAAUAAUUUCCUGGGAUGUGGUGUCCAGCUGUGUGCAUGCGUGAUAUUCCAAAAAUAAGGGGCACAGCUACUUUGGAGAGUGUUUCCAGGGGUGAAGCUCUGAAUGGCCUGAGAUCUGAUAGACAUGCCAGGUAGAAAAUGGGAUCUUGCCUUCCAAGCAUUGUCCCCAGUGUCCAGCUGGUCACAACCCUGUUCUUAGGGCUUGCCCCUGACAAGAGUGAUGGGAGUAUUUAUUCUCUAUAAUAGCCUGCAGGCAUUGUGCUGCAUAUGCUUUAGUGGGAAUAUUUUCUUUUUCUCUUAUGUCUUUCCCUUCCUUUCUCUCCUGAUCCUAGCUUCUUCCCUUCUUUUACAUUUUCUGGAUGGACUGCACAUUUUCAAAGUUUGAUGCUUUAUUUUUUUCCCGUUAUUCCCUGAGUGGCACAGCUGAAGUGUUACAGGCCGGUCAUCAAAGUGCCUUUACAAAAGGGAAUUGUCAGGGACUCACAUAUGUUUGAACUGUAUGUCUUUGCAUAGUGAUUUUCAAGGGUUAUCAGAGGAAAGUAUGAGUUGGUUUGACAGUGGUCCCAUCACAAGCUCUUACCUUCAGGAAUUCAACCUCCUACUUUUAUAGCCUAUUCACAGUCCCUCUGGAAAUUUUAAACACAGCAUGCUAGGAUGUUGGUUAACAGCAAAUAAACCUGUGUGCUGACCUGCCCAUGUGCUAAUAAUAAGUCAUGAGUCUGUUUCUUAAAAAACUCUGUCACAAAUGGUGGUUGAAAAAAUAAAUGAAAGGCCAGAUUCCUACAGAUAAGACCAUCCAGAUGGAACUGCUGGGGGAUAGGUUAAUGAGUUGGCUCUGUAGCCUUGACAGUCUUCUUUCAAAAAAAAGGGGCGCGUGUUGUUCAGACAAGCCCAUGGCCUCUGUUUUCCAAAGGUGAAAUUUACCAUGGAGUGAAGGGCCAGCGAAAGGUCUCUGCCUUGAGCUCACAUGGGAUUGGAAGAACAGAUAAGGUUUGUGCUGGUGCACCUCAUUUUUCGGGAGCAAACUGGCCCUUUUGGGGAGUUCCUGAAGAGUAAUCGAGCCUAGGAGUGAACAUUUUGUACAGGCUUUUGAUACAUUCCUGGUCCUUAAGGAUUUGCAAUGAGACCUGCAUUUAUGGGUUCGGGAGGUUUGUGGUUAUCUUGCUCGUACUUUUACUCAGUUGCACAAAGGCUGCAUAUGUGGGAAAUAUGCCACUAUUUUUUGCAAGAAUUGGAUGGCUUUAAUUUUUAACUUCAUUUUUUCUUUUUUUUUUGUUAUAUCACUAGAGUAAUUAGUUCCACUUUUCCAUAGUACUAAUCAGCUCAGCAUUUUCUGAAAGGACUUUUUGUAUUGCAGAAAUUACUUCCAUUUGCAUGAAAUAUUGGAUUUGCUGAAAGUAAGAAAUUAAUGUUUUUUUCCUGUAGACACCCCAGAUACUGGGUACUUUUUAUGGGGGCUUGAGAGAUGGCUAAAGGGUAAUACCACUAGAAAAACCAGUGAUAUGCAGCUAUUACAUCUUUUGCAACAACAUUUCAGUUUUUGGUAUGUGGUGACUCUGUUGCUUUAUUUUUAGACAAAAACAGCAUGGAUAGCAGCGACUAAACUCCUUGGUCUUGGGAGCUGCUUCCUCUUUUGGCUGAUGGACAAUUUGCAGAGCUAGUUCCAUGAUUUUUAGUGUCUCAAGAGUGCAUUAGAGUUUCACAGCAGGAGAUUUGUAAAAGGGAAAGGAAUGGUGUACAGGGAAUUAAAAGGUCUGUAAAACUAGAGGCUCACUCUCCUGUGAGGAGUGAUCUUGUCUAAAUCAAUAAACGUCGAUGGUCUGUGUUUUUCAGCUGUGAUUGUUAGGAUUGUGUGUUCAGUCAGUGUGUGCUGAGCAGAGCCAAUAUUGACUUAAUAACACCAAAAAAUGUAUUUACAGCUAUUUGUCCAAAUUCUGAAUAACUGUUCCUUUUGUUCUCUGUCCUUUGCUAUUCCCAAACCAUACUGCAAACAGAUUUUGGCUCUGAGUCCAGUGAAGUAUUUCUAAGCAUGCUUAACUCCAGGCACAUGACUACUCCAGUUAACAUUUCUACAGGCUUAAAGGGGCUGUCAGCGCUUCUCCUGCAACUGCCCCGUGGAGAUGCUGUUGAGUGACGUGAAACACUUUUUCUCCUGACAGGAUUAGCGAGCCAUCUCUCCACACUGCCCAGCUUCCCCCUCCGCUUCCACCAGCUCUCUCUACGUGCCCAAAGAGAUGGUUAUUCAAUCCAUGAAGUAUGGGAUGAUCCAUAUUCAUGUUAUCCCAAGGGAAGCUCUUUGAAAGAACUGUGACCUUUUUGCACUUGAAGAGGUCAGCACCAUCCAUGCCAGAGAAGGUUUUGGGAAUCACUGAGAUAAGUGUUGCUGAAGAACCUGUCUUUAUGAUGUGGUCUUGACACUCUGGAUCUAUCACAAGAAAAGCUGAGGGUCUGGCAUCUGAUUAACAAUGAUGGGAAUCUACCUUCUUCUGUCAUCAAAACUCAGCUGGGGGAAGAUUAAAUUUUCCUUUAAAAUAAUAUAUGCUGCCCUUCUUUCCAGAAGAGGAGGAAGAUGACACAGCUUUCCUGGAAGCUUCUGGCCAUGCAGCCUACAAUAGGCAGAAUUUCCUCUGCUUCUGGUAGAAAAUAGUCAAGAGUAUGAAUGACAGGGCUGUGUCAUAUAUGGACUAUAUUAAUUCUGCCUGUGUCUCACAUUGAGGCAGCAGAGGUGAGGACUAAUAUAUGGAAGAACACUUCCCUGGUCAGAGCAGCACCCCUGGCUGUAGCUGUCUUGUGUGUCUUCCCUCAGCUUCACCAGAGACCUCUGAGAUACCUGUCCAGCUGACAAAAAGGUGAAUGUAAAGUUCAACGUGCAAAGAUGGGAUUUAUUUCUGAACUUUGAAGUGCCAACUUGUUUUGCUGUGAUUAACAAGGAAAGAAACUUCUGAUGUGCAUGUUUUUAGGUUAACAUUUCUUCAUGGUGCAAUUCAAUUGCUUUAAAAAGAAAAACUACAAUAGUGCUAUACAUCUACAGUGGCUUUUCCCAGCCUUUGGAAAGUACAUGGAUCUACAAUUAAGCAUCAGGUGGCAUCCACAUCAAUAUUGGGAAGAAAAACCUGAGAGAGGAAUACUGGUCUGAAAGAGGUCCCAAGGAAGUGUAUUCAGAGUUUGCUGGGCAGACCUCAGAAGAAAUUUCUGGAGAAAAACCAGGAUGCCUGUGUGGAUAUUUUGGUGAAUCUAAAUUAUUACAAAGAAAAGGCAGAAAAUCCCAAGGCAGGUGAAGCCCAAGACUUGUUCAUUUGUUUUUUUUGCAAUCUUGAGUCCCAGUGAUGCCUGACAUUUGGAAGGGGGGGUUAGAAUCUGGAGAAACUACCAUCACCUGGAGAGAGUUUGGAAGUGUUCAUGGAGAAUGCACAGCAGGUAGGAGGGGGAGUGAUGAAAGUGGCACUAAACAAGGGCAGUUCCUCAGGGGACCACUGAACACUAGGCAAGGAGAUAAAUUAAUCUGGAAACAGUUUGCUAACUGUUGGCUGGAGGUAUAACCAGGGCAAGGACUGAAUACAGAGCCAAGAGCUGCUAUUCAGCCAAACUGCAUAGCUGCAUCAAACAUGAUGCAGGAGCCUCCUCUGAGUCUGAAGUAGGUACAAAACUUCUAAACAAAGGAGAACACAGGUUGAGAAACACCACUCUGUGUUUAAUGUCGCGAUGUCUAUUUGCAGGGCAGUUUCAGUGUAACACUUUCAGUUUAGGUGUAGACAGUGUGGAGAUGGGGUCAACAGACUGGGGCUUUCAGGAAAGGCUGGAGGGAACAACAGGUGAAAUGUAAACACAUGGGUCUCUUGGCAUAAAUGAGUAAAAAGUUGAUGAUGACAAAAUUUGUAAUUGCAUUUGGGGGAAAAAGUAUCUUUUACUCGACCAAAACUAUGUCAACCACAUCAAGAGGGUAUCCUCACUGGAAAUACAAGGGACUUACCCAACUGUAGCCUUUGAACUCAUUUUCAGGUAACAGGAAUGUUCUCUGCAGGGUAAGAAGUGGUCUGAGGACUACCUUUGAUGGUAGGUGCGUUCCUCAUAGACCAAGCAGCCGAAUUGCGGUGUCAUGGUGACAAAUUUGGGUUCCACUGGCCAAGGAAAUGGAGGAAUUUGGCUCAACUUGCUAGCAUGGGGUGAGGUUUUCUGAGGCCCAGCCUUGCUCAGAGGACUGCUCCUGAGAGCUGAGCAGGGCUGCUAGGCUUUUCCAUGAGCUUGGUUUCACCUGAAGAACUUCUGCUGGCCCCACAGUGCUCCCACACAGAAACAUUGCCUGAUACCCACUCUCAUGGCCAUUGGAUGGGAGCUGCAGCCCAAUUCAUGC